Molecule: ribosomal RNA, 447 nt
Filed under: uncultured bacterium
Lineage: Bacteria
Description: partial 16S ribosomal RNA
Rfam family: Bacterial small subunit ribosomal RNA
Source: RNAcentral
AGCGAACGCUGGCGGCAGGCUUAACACAUGCAAGUCGAAUGGUCCUUCGGGAUAGUGGCGGACGGGUGAGUAACACGUGGGAACGUACCCUUAGGUUCGGAACAACACAGGGAAACUUGUGCUAAUACCGGAUAAGCCCUUCGGGGGAAAGAUUUAUCGCCUUUGGAGCGGCCCGCGUCUGAUUAGCUUGUUGGUGAGGUAAUGGCUCACCAAGGCUACGAUCAGUAGCUGGUCUGAGAGGAUGGCCAGCCACACGGGGACUGAGACACGGCCCAGACUCCUACGGGAGGCAGCAGUGGGGAAUCUUGCGCAAUGGGCGAAAGCCUGACGCAGCCAUGCCGCGUGGAUGAUGAAGGUCUUAGGAUUGUAAAAUCCUUUCACCGGGGACGAUAAUGACGGUACCCGGAGAAGAAGCCCCGGCUAACUUCGUGCCAGCAGCCGCCGUAA